AUACGUAGGGAGCAAGCGUUGUCCGGAUUUACUGGGUGUAAAGGGCGCGCAGGCGGGUUGGUAAGUCAGAGGUGAAAUCCUACAGCUUAACUGUAGAACUGCCUUUGAUACUACUAAUCUUGAGUAUGGAAGAGAGAGACGGAAUUCCAGGUGUAGUGGUGAAAUACGUAGAUAUCUGGAAGAACACCAGUUGCGAAGGCGGUCUCUUGGUCCAAUACUGACGCUGAGGCGCGAAAGCGUGGGUAGCAAACAGGAUUAGAAACCCCAGUAGUCC
This 274-nucleotide ribosomal RNA is filed under the name uncultured bacterium. RNAcentral's name for it is "partial 16S ribosomal RNA". It matches the Rfam family "Bacterial small subunit ribosomal RNA", at positions 523 to 796 of the family's 1533-position model. The record is from RNAcentral.